Molecule: long non-coding RNA, 666 nt
Filed under: Pan troglodytes (chimpanzee)
Lineage: Eukaryota; Metazoa; Chordata; Mammalia; Primates; Hominidae
Description: long non-coding RNA NONPTRT008545
Source: RNAcentral
AGCAAGCGCCUGGCUCUUCUUUCUGAUUCCUGCAGGAAAGGAGGCUGUUCUUGGACUAUGCCUGACCCGUUUUUUAAGAAAGAGUGCAUCAGUCAACAGGUGGCGUCUGGAGUUAUCCUCUGUGGAUUUUCCAGGAUCUCAGACAAGAUCGUGCAAUCUCCCAGCCUCCUUUCCUUCCCCUGCCCUGACUUCUGAAAGAAUGCUGCGGAGAGGAGGGAGAGCAUCCUGGCUCCUGGCAGCAGAGCCCCACUGUGACAGGACCUAGCAUUCACCUUUCUCUUCUGUUCCGAGUGUGAGAAGACUUCAGGGACCUCUGUUUCAUGGACAUUAUCAUAUUCUUCUCAGAGUACCCAGCAAGAGGUUUGCAAAGAGGAGUUAUUCAAAUCAGAAUCAUACCCUGAGAGCUACAAGAACUCCAUUUUUCACUGUGCAGAGGCUCUCUGCUGAAGGGUCAAGUGGAAUCUGGAAUCCAGCCCAUGUUUCCCCAUCAUCAAGCCCUGUGAAGCUGCAGACUCCAAGCAACAGAGAGACAAGAUUUAGAAUACUGGCUCUGGUAUGAAAGCUGGAUUCAGGUACUGUUCCUGCCUCUUGACCUCACCAAGCCUCAGCCUCCUCGCCUGUUAAAUGGAUACAAUUGUCGUCAUUAUCAUCUGUUGAGAACUCCCU